RNAcentral lists this ribosomal RNA (522 nucleotides) under Amaurornis moluccana (rufous-tailed waterhen). RNAcentral's name for it is "partial 16S ribosomal RNA". The record is from RNAcentral. Lineage: Eukaryota; Metazoa; Chordata; Aves; Gruiformes; Rallidae.
UGUGAGACGAAUUUAAGUUCCACCUUAAUUUUACUCCAAAGACCGAAUCUACUUACCCGUAACAAAUUAAGAGCAAUUUAAAGGGGGUACAGCUCCUUUUAAAAAGAACACAAUCUCUCCCAGAGGAUAAGCACUCUCUUCAUAUAUCCUGUAGGCUUUAAAGCAGCCAUCAAUAAAGAGUGCGUCAAAGCUCCAACCCCAUAAAAAUCUAGAAACAAAUGCGACUCCCUCACCCACAACAGGCUAACCUAUCUUAAAUAGGAGCAUCAAUGCUAGAAUAAGUAACCGAGGAACCUCCUUCUGAAGCACAAACUUACAUACCUCCAAAAUUAUUAACAGACUCACCAAUACUAUAACCACUACAAGAACCCAGUAUUUAACAUAUUCCCUGUUAAACCAACUCAGGAGUGCCCAACUAGAAAGAUUCAAACCUGCAAAAGGAACUAGGCAAACCCAAGGCCCGACUGUUUACCAAAAACAUAGCCUUCAGCCAACCAAGUAUUGAAGGUGACGCCUGCCCAG